AUUGAACGCUGGCGGCAGGCCUAACACAUGCAAGUCGAGCGGAUGAAGGGAGCUUGCUCCUGGAUUCAGCGGCGGACGGGUGAGUAAUGCCUAGGAAUCUGCCUGGUAGUGGGGGAUAACGUCCGGAAACGGGCGCUAAUAUCGCAUACGACCUGAGGGAGAAAGGGGGGGAUCUUCGGACCUCACGCUAUCAGAUGAGCCUAGGUCGGAUUAGCUAGUUGGUGGGGUAAAGGCCUACCAAGGCGACGAUCCGUAACUGGUCUGAGAGGAUGAUCAGUCACACUGGAACUGAGACACGGUCCAGACUCCUACGGGAGGCAGCAGUGGGGAAUAUUGGGCAAUGGGCGAAAGCCUGAUCCAGCCAUGCCGCGUGUGUGAAGAAGGUCUUCGGAUUGUAAAGCACUUUAAGUUGGGAGGAAGGGCAGUAAGUUAAUACCUUGCUGUUUUGACGUUACCAACAGAAUAAGCACCGGCUAACUUCGUG
RNAcentral lists this ribosomal RNA (484 nucleotides) under uncultured bacterium. Its description in RNAcentral is "partial 16S ribosomal RNA". It matches the Rfam family "Bacterial small subunit ribosomal RNA", at positions 30 to 507 of the family's 1533-position model. The record is from RNAcentral.